Molecule: long non-coding RNA, 4221 nt
Organism: Meriones unguiculatus (Mongolian gerbil)
Lineage: Eukaryota; Metazoa; Chordata; Mammalia; Rodentia; Muridae
Exons: 3
Source: RefSeq, a predicted model, not a curated record
CUCCUAGGUAUGGUAGAGGAAAAGGUUUAUUGUGGGUAUGAGGGAGAGCAUAGCCAGAGGCAGGGACAUCUAAGAGAGUCCAGAGUGGACAGACAUGACCCUAAGCCAAGCCAUGUAAAGGGGGGGGGAUGAAAAGGGGGAGAGAGAGGAACCAGGAGCAGUGGCCAAGAGGGCAAAAGAUCAAAAAGGUGAAAAAGGACUGAUGUAAUCAGAAUGACCGGGUUACAUAGGAAUUGAAAAGCUGGGGGAAGGGAAAACCCAGUCCAGUUCCUGGACUGGUGAGUUCUGGAUAGGGGGUGAGGUAUGCCAGCCAGGAGGACUCCAUAACAGCUCUGUUCAGCAGGCUGGAGUCUGAGUGGAACAAAGUUGGAAGAAGAGGAAGCCAGCCCAUGUGUGCAAGUUCAGCUGUUCCCCGAACCAGUGUGUCUACUCCCUCUGCCGUCACCACCGCCAACCAGAUCAAAUUUGGUCUCUUCAUCCUAACAACGUGGACCCGCGCCAGCGACUCUCCAGGGGAGCAUUGCUUCAACCUCACGCUGGGCUUUCUCCCUGUUUUCCUUGUUCUGAGGCCUCUGGCUUCUGGGACUGAGAAGCGCCGGGAUUCGUGGCGCUCCAGCAUACAGACAGCCAUUGUUAAACCACCCAGCCAAUCAUGAAGUUCAGUUAACAAGUCACUGUUCGCAUUCUGUUGGUUCUCUUCUUCUGGAGAACUCUGACUAAUGGAGCAAGUGUGUUAUCAUCUUGUUGAGGGCCUGAAGUAUUAUCAAUAGGUAACACAAGUGUCAUCAUACAAAGUACAGAAGUCAGAGAAGAGCUUGUGGAAAUCAAUUCUUCCAUCAUGAGGGAUCUGAGGAUAAACCUCAGGCAGUCAGGCCUGUCACCUUUGACCUGUUGAGACAUCUUUCAGGCUUGUUCUGUAUUUUUCAAACAGGGUUUGUGUAAACCAGGAUCAUCUUGAACCCCUAAUCCUCCUGCUUCAGGAUCUCAAACACUGAGAUUACAAGCAUGUACCUUGUUUGUGUGAAUGGGUCCCAUGUAACUAAGGAUGACCUUGAACAUCAGACCUCUCGCCUCUACUCUGUGUUUUGGUUUGCACGAUGCUGGGGAUUGAACCUGAGUCUUUGUAAUGCAAGACCCUUAUCAACUGAGCUGUAUCAAACAGCCCAAAUUGAUAUGCUUAGACAAUAAAAAAGCAUAUUAAGUAUACUGAAGCUAGGUGGCGGUGGUACAUACUUUUAAUCCUAGCACCCAGGAGGAAGAGGCAGGCCAAUCUCUGAGUUCGAGGCUAGCCUGGUCUAAGAGUGAGUUCCAGGACAGCCAGAGCUAUGUAGAGACUCUGUCUCAAGAAACAAAACAGAACAAACAAAACAUUGAAAGUUAGGUGUGAAAAAAAUAGAUAUAUAUGCUAGUUGCUGGCAUUCAGGAGAAACCAAAAAAGAAAAUACUUCUUAUUAUUUUUAUUAUUAAAAUAAAUAUUUGUUGUGAAAAUUAGAGUUUAUAUAUAAGCAAGGGCAUAAAAAACAGAACUAUAGGCCAAGCAUGGUGGUGCAUACCUAUAAUCUCUGCACUUGAAAGAGAAGCAGAGGCAGAAUGAACAGGGAUUCAAGGCUAGCCUUAGUUACAUACAAGUUUGAGGCCAGCAUGGGAUAUAAAAGACCCAGUAUCAAACAAACAAAUAGAAAACCCAAAAGAAACAAACAAGCAAAGAACACACACACACACACACACACACACACACACACACACACUGCAAUUUUUUUUUUAAUUGGUUAAUUGGUUGAGGUGGGUUUGUCUCUAACCCAGUGUGGCCCAGAACUCAGUAGGUAGUACAGGCUGGCCUCGGAUUUUUUGAUUUUUUAUGAGUCCUGCUUCAGCCUCCUCAGUGCUGGGAUUACUGGCUCGCACCCUGACAUCUGGGUUUACUUCCAGGUCACACCCACCAUCCUUUAUAUAUUCACACAUUCAUUCCACGUAAGGAUGAGCCUUUCAGGAAGCGCAGCCAGAGGAAAGGGCUCUGGCAAGAGCUGUCCAGCAAUAGACGUCUGCCUGGAGCCACAGGCAGUGCCUGGUCACAACAGGUCCCGAAGCUUUAGCUGCAACCACUUGUCGGUAGAGCUACGGAAGCCUUCCUACAAGAAAGAGAAGUCACGCUGAAUGUUCCCUAACGCCCCUCCUGCCCCUGACAUUUUAGCAUCAUGAAUUAUUCAUUGGAAGUGUGUACAGAGGUAUGAGAUUCCUAGCCCACACGGGCGAUUGGUGUGGUUCUUCAAAUCUUGGCCAGUGAGGACAGCUCCAAGUUCAUGCCCGUGAAAUUUAUAGGAAAUUCCUUGCAUAGUUCAGGUGGAGGAUCUGCUCUGCUUUGUCCAAAAUCCAGGACGUGCAAGCCUGCCAGCGAAUCCUGGUCAAAUGGAGAAGAAAACAGAGGGCGGGUGCGCCUGCAGAGACUUCAUCUGAUCCUCAGACGCUGUUUGUCUGCAUUUUUUAAAAAUUAUUAUUAUUACUACUAUCUGAGGUUUGUUUGUGAGAAAAAUUCCUGACCUGGCAAAAAUUCAUAGUAAUUACUCAGGAGAAAGGAAUGAGAAGAAACAAGCAGACCGAAAAAAAAUAAAACAAUAAAAAUACAAAGCAUUGAUAAGGUGGGGGAACCUGGGCAUGGGGCUUCAGUGGGAGAGAAGAGGUCUGCAGAAGGCCCACCCAAAUGCUUUUGAUGUUUGACCAAUUAUUAUCUUAUUAUUCUUCCUGCUAUAGAUGCAGCUGCAAUUUAUGUAACAGGAUGUUUAAAAAGAUGAAAGAGAAGGUGUAGUGGAGCUUUGAGGUGAUAAGAGCUCCUAGAAUAUGUAUUUAUGGACGUUUAGAGUAUAAGUUCCCGUACAUUCUUAUAAUAAAACACCUAUUUGUUUUUCUUUUCUUAAGAGCAACAACUAAAAAUUGGGCUUCAAUAUGGCAGCUUCCUGCGGGCGAGCGAUAUAGGAACCACAGCAAAGAAAGCGAACAAAGAGUCAUUGCCGAAGGGGUUGGAGGUGGUUCAAUCUGUGGCCCCCGCUGGCUCUUAAUUAGCUUUGAGCUUUGGGUCCAGAAUGUUUUAUCUUUGUAUUAUACAAGUGUUGGAAUUUAUUUGGUUUCAACCUGUUUAUCAUAAAAUGGAUUCUUCUAUUGUUCGAGGAGGAGGGCCCUGUGGAAUUCGUGACUGAAAUCACCCCGUGUGAAGAUGAAAGCGAAAAAUAGUUUUUGCCGGACGGUUUGUGGGACCAAAGUUGAAACGAGUUGAACGGUGUGCCAGAAGGCUCUGUAUGUGCUGGGCACAGCGGCACAUACACUUUUACCUCUUCAUCUCAGGCAGAGGCAGAAGAGGUGGACCUCUACGCAUCUCCGUCUGAUCUACAUAGGCCAGCCAGGGCUAUAUUGUAAGACCCUGUCUCAAAACAAACAAACAAAAUUUUCUAUAGGUAUCUUAACCAGGGUUACUCACAGGGACUGGAGACCCCUGCUGGGCGUGCUGUCCUGUCUCACAACAAACCGGUGCUGGACACCCCAUAAAAAGGUCUUUGGACAUGUUCUAACUUAGAAGUGCUAUCAUUACUCAUGGUUUAUUUGCUAAUUUCAGUUAUUUCUCCUAGCAACCCAGGCAAGUGGAAUACCCCUCUCCUACAUGUUCAUAAUUUUACUCAUAUGUGUAUAUAGGUACAGUAUAUGUCCAGCUUCUUUCUCUUUGAAAUUAAGCUUUUUAAAAGUAAUGUCUCUUUCUCCUAGGUCCCUCAGGAUGCAUUCCUUAAAAACAAGGGAUUCUCUUUCAUAACCACAAUACAAAUAUGAAAACUUAAGAAGUCAAUUACAACUAAAUAAAAAUUUGUGAUCUAUAAGCCUCAUUAAAAUAUGGUUCCACUGUCCCAAUAACAUCACUGUAGUAAAGUUCAUUGCAGAUCAUUUAUCACAUCUGGUUGUCCAGCCUCUUAGGUGGUAUGGUGAGUUGAACCCAGAGCCUUCAGCUUCCUAGGCAAGCGCUCACCCACACCUUUACUUUCUAAUCUGGAAUAGAUCUUCUGUACCUAGGACCAUGACAUAUUGAAGACAUAUUGUAGAGUGUCAUCGGUUGGUGUUUCAUCCUUUAGACUCAAGUUAUGUCUUCUUAGCAGGAAUACAAGGAGUGAUGACACUUCCAUAUAUAUAGUAUAUCCUCUGCCCCCAAAUGUAUGCUCUGUAAUAAACUCUGUGUCUAUACUA